This 253-nucleotide ribosomal RNA is filed under the name uncultured bacterium. RNAcentral describes it as "partial 16S ribosomal RNA". It matches the Rfam family "Bacterial small subunit ribosomal RNA", at positions 524 to 776 of the family's 1533-position model. The record is from RNAcentral.
UACGAAGGGGGCUAGCGUUGCUCGGAUUGACUGGGCGUAAAGGGCGCGUAGGCGGAUAGUACAGUCAGGCGUGAAAUUCCUGGGCUCAACCUGGGGGCUGCGUUUGAUACGUAUUGUCUGGAGUUCGGAAGAGGGUCGUGGAAUUCCCAGUGUAGAGGUGAAAUUCGUAGAUAUUGGGAAGAACACCGGUGGCGAAGGCGGCGACCUGGUCCGAUACUGACGCUGAGGCGCGAAAGCGUGGGGAGCGAAUGGG